AGAGUUUGAUCCUGGCUCAGGACGAACGCUGGCGGCACGCUUAACACAUGCAAGUCGAACGAGGUCCAUGGAGCUUGCUCCGGAAGACCUAGUGGCGAACGGGCGCGUAACACGUGAGAAACCUGCCCUGAACUUGGGAAUAACAGUUGGAAACGACUGCUAAUACCGAAUACCUUCACGACGUCGCAUGGCGAUGUGAAGAAAGCUUUAUGCGGUUUGGGAGGGUCUCGCGACCUAUCAGCUCGUUGGUGAGGUAACGGCUCACCAAGGCGUCGACGGGUAGCUGGUCUGAGAGGAUGAUCAGCCACACUGGGACUGAGACACGGCCCAGACUCCUACGGGAGGCAGCAGUGGGGAAUAUUGCACAAUGGGCGCAAGCCUGAUGCAGCGAUGCCGCGUGCGGGAUGAAGGCCCUAGGGUUGCAAACCGCUUUCAGUAGGGAAGAAAAUGACGGUACCUACAGAAGAAGGUGCGGCCAACUACGUGCCAGCAGCCGCGGUGACACGUAGGCACCAAGCGUUGUCCGGAUUUAUUGGGCGUAAAGAGCUCGUAGGCGGUUCAGUUAGUCGGGUAUGAAAACUCUGGGCUCAACCCAGAGAGGCUACCCGAUACUGCUGUGACUAGAGUACGGUAGGGGAGUGGGGAAUUCCCGGUGUAGCGGUGAAAUGCGCAGAUAUCAGGAGGAACACCAGUGGCGAAGGCGCCACUCUGGGCCGUAACUGACGCUGAGGAGCGAAAGCAUGGGUAGCAAACAGGAUUAGAUACCCUGGUAGUCCAUGCCGUAAACGUUGGGCACUAGGUGUGGGUCUCAACCAACGAGAUCCGCGCCGUCGCUAACGCAUUAAGUGCCCCGCCUGGGGAGUACGGUCGCAAGACUAAAACUUAAAGGAAUUGAUGG
This 898-nucleotide ribosomal RNA is filed under the name uncultured bacterium. RNAcentral's name for it is "bacterial SSU rRNA". It matches the Rfam family "Bacterial small subunit ribosomal RNA", at positions 8 to 916 of the family's 1533-position model. The record is from RNAcentral.